GGGUCUGUAGCUCAGUUGCUUAGAGCGCACCCCUGAUAAGGGUGAGGUCGGCAG
RNAcentral lists this transfer RNA (54 nucleotides) under Pseudomonas sp. DFS034. Its description in RNAcentral is "tRNA-Ile". It matches the Rfam family "tRNA", at positions 1 to 51 of the family's 71-position model. Rfam says of the family: Transfer RNA (tRNA) molecules are approximately 80 nucleotides in length. Their secondary structure includes four short double-helical elements and three loops (D, anti-codon, and T loops). The record is from RNAcentral. Lineage: Bacteria; Pseudomonadati; Pseudomonadota; Gammaproteobacteria; Pseudomonadales; Pseudomonadaceae.